GGGGAUGUAAAGGCUUCGACGGGGUCGCGGAGACUCAGGGAGCGAGCCGCAGUGGGUACUGCGAUAAAAACCCAAACUUUAAAAUUAAACGCUAACAAUAGUGUAGCUUACGCUGCCUAAUUUAGGCGGCUGCCCUCCCGGGAUAACCGCGGUCCCGGUGCAGAGUAUCAUCUGAGCGGUGAACGCGAGUGCGCAAAGCUUUGAGCGCGCCGUGAAUUAAUGAAGCUACCGAGCUGUCGGGUUUGUUUGUGAACCCGACCGUGAGGGAAUUUUAAUCACAAACUACGCUCGUAGCGCCCUGUGGGGACGCUUCUUCGGACAGGGGUUCGAUUCCCCUCAUCUCCACCA
Molecule: transfer-messenger RNA, 348 nt
Filed under: Clostridia bacterium
Lineage: Bacteria; Bacillati; Bacillota; Clostridia
Rfam family: transfer-messenger RNA
About the family: Bacterial tmRNA, also known as 10Sa RNA or SsrA, is named for its dual tRNA and mRNA-like properties. Its role is to liberate the mRNA from a stalled ribosome.
Source: RNAcentral